GCCGUGGCCUUGCCAAAUGUUUUGAAUUUGUUUUGGCGCGAAAAUAUACUGAAUUUGAAUGAGCAACACAAGCUAUAGUGACAAAAUAUAAAGUUGAAAGUGUUUUUCUUGGUUUACUGCUGUUAUUUGUCCUCUAGUUGAAGUUUGCUUUGGUUUUCAUCCUCCAUUGUAAUUUAAUAAAUUGUUCGUGGGUUAUAGAAUAAUAUUUAGGUAAAUAAAUUUCAAUUUUUGAACUUAUAGCAUAGGAAAUAAACAUUUAGAUAGCAUAUUUUAGGUAAAUUCAUAAACAUUUAGAUAGGAUAUUUUAGGUAAAUUCAUUUAAAUUCAGUUUAAAAUUAAAUAGAUAAAUAUAUUGUAAAUUUUUGUAGUCAGAGUAUAAAUUAAAGUGUCUAGGUGUAUAUAAAUUUUUAAACUAUAUAAUAUGGAGAGUGAACCAAGCACUUCGCAUGAGACGAAUAGUAGUGAAUUACCAGUAACAAUAAGAUGGACAAGGGAUUUACAUGGCAUUCCAGCAUUUACAUAUGAGCUGUUAAUCAAGCAUUUGGGGACUGAAAAUUCUGGUACAGGUGCUCAGAAACACAAGAAAUUGGGUUAUCAAAUGUUCAAAGACAAAUAUGUUGGUCAAGUCCAGGUUAAACCAAAUAUCACUAAAGGGAACAUGUCCUGCUUCUUAGUUAAAGGCACUGUUAAUGCUGCAAUGAAAAGCAACACAUACACUGUUUAUGUCCAUUUAAAUGAAGCAAAUGGGGAGGUUGUGUAUAGCAACUGUAUGUGUAUAGCAGGCAAAGGUGGUAAAUGUAAACAUGUUGUUGCUCUGCUCUUUCAAGUUAUUGAAUACAAACAAUUAGACAUGACCGAGAUUCCAGAUCACCCGACCUGUACACAGCUAUUACAGCAAUGGCACGUACCGAGAAAAGAUGAGUCAGAUGAAGCUGUUCUUUAUGAGAACAUUGUGUUUGAAAAGGCUGUGUAUGAGAAAGAUGUUCAGGCUAAAAAGAGAAAACACAGACAGUCACUCCCCAUAUAUAACCCUACUCCACAUUUUUCACAAACAGUACAGCAAAAUGAUGUUCAAAAGCUUGCCAAUUCAUUGACUGAAACAGAUAAAAAUAGCUACUUGGGCAACUUACUAAAGUCAAAUAAUUGUCAGCCAUGCCCUUUUGAGACCAUGCACCUAGAUUUACCAUCAAAGAAGCUACACUCUGAGUCAAUGCAUCUCAAUAUAAAUAAUUCUAGUGUUCGGGAUAAAAUAUUUGAAAGAUUACCUUCCACUACAGCUAAAGAAUAUGUAACAAAUUGUGAUGCUAUCAAUAGCUUAAGCUCCUUAGUUAAAAUUACACAUGCAGAAGUGCUUCAAAUUGAGCAAAACACUAGAGAACAGUCCUCAAGUGAUACCUGGUUUGAUGAACGGCAAAAAAGGCUCACAUCUUCAAAUUUUGGAGCGGUUGUUAAGCGUAGAAAACAAAUAUACCCUAAGUCAAUAUUAACAACUAUUCGCAAAUCAAAGCAGUCCACCUGUCCCAAACCUUGUCAGUGGGGAAAAGAUAAGGAAGUGAAAGCCAUUCAAGAGUACUACAAAUUGAAAAGAAAACAUGGGAACAAUUUUGACAUUUGUGCAAGUUGUGGGUUUGUUGUGAAUUUGAAGUUUCCAUGGUUAGGUGCUAGCCCUGAUUUUUUAGUGUUUGACAGCACAGAAGCAACAUCACUUGGCAUCGGAGAAGUCAAAUGCCCAUUCUCAAAAAAGAACUUAACCAUUGAUGAUGCUUGCAGUGAUAAAAAAUUCUUUUUAGAAAAAUUGAAUGGAAAGGUCACAUUAAAGAAAAGCAACAAUUAUUUUUAUCAAAUUCAAGGGUGUAUGGCCACACUUGAUGUUACCUGGUGUGAUUUUGUUGUUUUCACCAAUAUUGACUUGCAUGUUGAGAGGAUUUACUUUGAUAAUGAAUUCUGGCAAAAAGUUGUUCCAGAGCUAAGCAGUUUUUACUCUGAAUACAUGUUACCAGAAUUGUAAUAUAGAAUAAACAAUAUAAUUAUGUUAACAAGGUGCAAUUACGAUUUACUGAAAGUCACCUAUAACUCAACAGUUUAAACUUGUUUUUCCUUAAUGAUAGGUGGUAAAAAUAGUGUUAAAUAGGAGCAAACACUCCAAAUGUGUUCUAAGUUCUCAGCCAAUGUCAGGGGAACUACCUGAUGCAAAAUUCUAUAAGUUUUUAUUCUUGCAAUUGCACGCUCAACAUGUACACGGACUGAGGCAAUUUUUCGUGUUUUCACCUCAUCCUCUGCUGAUAGCUGAGGCUGUCCAUUUAAAAAGGGUGGAAUGUUUAACGACACUCCAUUUGGCAUGUCAGCCUCAAUAUCGAAUCCCC
Non-coding RNA from Paramuricea clavata, 2363 nucleotides. NCBI's taxonomy places the organism in Eukaryota, Metazoa, Cnidaria, Anthozoa, Malacalcyonacea, Plexauridae. The record is from the annotation of a GenBank genome assembly.